This 468-nucleotide ribosomal RNA is filed under the name uncultured bacterium. RNAcentral describes it as "partial 16S ribosomal RNA". It matches the Rfam family "Bacterial small subunit ribosomal RNA", at positions 28 to 507 of the family's 1533-position model. The record is from RNAcentral.
GACGAACGCUGGCGGCGUGCUUAACACAUGCAAGUCGAACGGAAACGCCCUGCUGUUGUGGGGUGCUCGAGUGGCGAACGAGUGAGUAACACGUGAGUAACCUGCCCUUGACUUUGGGAUAACUUCAGGAAACUGGGGCUAAUACCGGAUAGGAGCUCCUGCUGCAGGGUGGGGGUUGGAAAGUUUCGGCGGUUGGGGAUGGACUCGCGGCUUAUCAGCUUGUUGGUGGGGUAGUGGCUUACCACGGCUUUGACGGGUAGCCGGCCUGGGAGGGUGACCGGGGACAUGGGGACUGAGAGACGGCCCAGAGUCCUACGGGGGGCAGCAGGGGGGAAUAUUGCACAAUGGGCGGAAGCGUGAUGCAGAAACGCCGCGUGCGGGAUGACGGCUUUCGGGGUGUAAACCGCUUUCGCCUGUGACGAAGCGUGAGUGACGGUAAUGGGUAAAGAAGCACCGGCUAACUACGUG